GCCUCUGGAAGGAUCUGGAAUGCACCUGAAGCUCCCAGGACUUGAAGACAGACCUCCAAAGACUUGGAUCAGAUCCCAAAUGUGGCAGCUUUUAGCAGCAGCAUGCUGGAUGCUUCUUCUUGGAUCUAUGUAUGGUUAUGACAAGAAAGGAAACAAUGCAAACCCUGAAGCUAAUAUGAAUAUUAGCCAGAUUAUUUCUUACUGGGGUUAUCCUUAUGAAGAGUAUGAUGUUACAACAAAAGAUGGUUAUAUCCUUGGAAUUUAUAGGAUUCCACAUGGAAGAGGAUGCCCAGGGAGGACAGCUCCAAAGCCUGCUGUGUAUUUGCAGCAUGGCUUAAUUGCAUCUGCCAGUAACUGGAUUUGCAACCUGCCCAACAACAGUUUGGCUUUCCUUCUGGCAGAUAGUGGUUAUGACGUGUGGUUGGGGAACAGCCGAGGAAACACUUGGUCCAGAAAACACCUUAAAUUGUCACCGAAAUCACCGGAAUACUGGGCCUUCAGUUUGGAUGAGAUGGCUAAAUAUGACCUUCCAGCCACAAUCAAUUUUAUCAUAGAGAAAACUGGACAGAAGCGACUCUACUACGUGGGCCACUCACAAGGCACCACCAUAGCUUUUAUAGCAUUUUCUACAAACCCAGAACUGGCUAAAAAGAUUAAGAUAUUUUUUGCACUGGCUCCAGUUGUCACAGUUAAAUACACCCAAAGUCCUAUGAAAAAACUAACAACCCUUUCCAGGCGAGUAGUUAAGGUGUUGUUUGGUGACAAAAUGUUCCACCCUCAUACAUUGUUUGACCAAUUCAUUGCCACCAAAGUGUGCAAUCGAAAGCUAUUCCGUCGUAUUUGCAGCAACUUCCUAUUUACUCUGAGUGGAUUUGAUCCGCAAAACUUAAAUAUGAGUCGCUUGGAUGUUUAUUUGUCACACAAUCCUGCGGGAACAUCUGUUCAGAAUAUGCUGCACUGGGCUCAGGCUGUUAAUUCUGGUCAGCUCCAAGCUUUUGAUUGGGGAAACUCUGAUCAGAACAUGAUGCACUUCCAUCAGAGGUUCAGAGAGGGUAGGUAAAUUACCAGAGUUAUUCGCUAGUAAACAACCAGAGACAGGGGCUCAAGAUGGUCAACUGGAUACAGCCAGGAAGAGUUUCUCCCAUUAAGAGACAAGACCAUCAAGAAGAUUGGAACACUCUGAGCAGAUCUUCAGAAGAAAGGCAUUGAGAGUGAAUGGAGCUUACACCUCCUUUAUACAACAUUACUAAGAUGGAAGUUCCAACAGCAAUAUGGAAUGGUGGACAGGACAUUGUGGCUGAUCCCAAGGAUGUUGAAAAUUUACUUCCUCAAAUUGCUAACCUUAUUUAUUACAAGCUGAUUCCACACUACAAUCAUGUGGAUUUUUACCUUGGAGAGGAUGCACCUCAGGAAAUUUACCAAGACCUAAUUAUAUUGAUGGAAGAAUAUUUACAAAAUUAAAUGCACUUUACUUUCUCUAA
Molecule: RNA transcript, 1481 nt
Organism: Homo sapiens (human)
Lineage: Eukaryota; Metazoa; Chordata; Mammalia; Primates; Hominidae
Gene: LIPK
Gene name: lipase family member K
Exons: 11
Source: RefSeq, marked validated